GUCCAACUGACGAGUCCCAAAUAUGAUGAAAUGCGCCUCCUGGAU
Molecule: non-coding RNA, 45 nt
Organism: Trichobilharzia regenti
Lineage: Eukaryota; Metazoa; Platyhelminthes; Trematoda; Strigeidida; Schistosomatidae
Source: Rfam